Molecule: non-coding RNA, 114 nt
Organism: Acanthosepion pharaonis
Lineage: Eukaryota; Metazoa; Mollusca; Cephalopoda; Sepiida; Sepiidae
Source: the annotation of a GenBank genome assembly
UUACGGCCACAUCACUUUGAAACGUCUAUUCUCGUACGAUCACCAAAGUUAAGCAACGUCGAACCUAGUCAGUACCUAGAUGGGUGAACGCUUGGGAAUACCAGGUGCUGUAAG